CAGUUUAUUCUUUUAAAAAAUUAAAAAUAUGAUUAUUUUCAAAGGGACUAGCUCUCAGUCAUCUUUUUGUAUUCUGCUUUCCAGACAUAUCUGUUUUUAAAAGUUUGUGGUCCUUGUCCAUCAUGUUUGAGUGUACAGAUGUUCUUUUUGACAUCUACCUUUGUUAUAUUUGAUUACAAGAUACAGAGAAGCCACAUUUUGGGAGGUUGAUUUGGGAGUCUUUAUUAGAAAUCUGAAAUGAACACAUGUCCCCAGAAAACUUGCAGCCUCAAAUGCACUUAAUAAUGUUAGGAAACUGAGCCACGAGGGUAGUAAAGAAAGACCAGAAAACAAUCUCAACAAACCAGAUCAACUGUAAUGGAGAGUUGAAGAGGAAUACCAUGGUGACCUGAGGAGUGUCAGAAGAUACCAGGUAUGGCGCAAUGGUGGCAGAGGUCCAGAGAGCCUAAAUAGGGUAUGGUCAGGGGGCGGGGUCACAGGGACCUAACGAGUUCAAAGGGUCUUUCGAGUUUAUGGUAUAGCUAUGGCAGAUCCAGGAACCUGUUGCCCAAGUCCCUGCCCCUGCUUCUAGGAAUUCAGGCUGGCCUGUCACCAGGGGGUGGAGGAGAGACUUUACCUCUCCCAGUUUUCCAAAAGUCCUUAUCAUCCACCAGAUGACAAGAUGGCGCCAGUUAGACACAGUAUCCAUAUUUCACCUUCACAUAUUGGUCUUAUUGCUUUCUGGAAACAGUGUACAGAUAUCUGCAUUGUGGUCUUCACUCCUAUUUUUUCUCCUUCUUGUUUUUCAGUGGGAAGAAAAUAAAUCCAAUCUUAAAGGUUGUUUCUGCUUAUCCCACUCCCUCACCUCUUCAACUUGGGGUAUUUUACCUCCUGAUCUCAUGCCAUUCGAAUUCUAAUGUUAGUGACCUUAAGUCACUCACACCCUAACUGGUUUAAAUUUCUUUACCUGAGUAAGGGUAACUUGCUUUAGAUGUCUUGAAGGAUGUACAGUAGUGCCUCAGGGGUAAAAGAAGGCCACACUUCUGGGGUAGUGCUUGGGUAGUAGAGGUCUUGCCU
Molecule: long non-coding RNA, 1056 nt
Organism: Perognathus longimembris pacificus (Pacific pocket mouse)
Lineage: Eukaryota; Metazoa; Chordata; Mammalia; Rodentia; Heteromyidae
Exons: 3
Source: RefSeq, a predicted model, not a curated record